RNAcentral lists this unclassified non-coding RNA (307 nucleotides) under uncultured Eurotiales. RNAcentral describes it as "sequence contains ITS1". The stretch from base 1 to 105 matches the Rfam family "5.8S ribosomal RNA", at positions 50 to 154 of the family's 154-position model. The record is from RNAcentral. Lineage: Eukaryota; Fungi; Ascomycota; Eurotiomycetes; Eurotiales.
GAAAUGCGAUAAGUAAUGUGAAUUGCAGAAUUCAGUGAAUCAUCGAAUCUUUGAACGCACAUUGCGCUCUCUGAUAUUCCGGGGGGCAUGUCUGUCCGAGCGUCAUUACUGCCCUCAAGCGCGACUUGUGUGUUGGGCCCUCGCCCCCCCCGGGGGCGUGCCCGAAAGGCAGUGACGGCGCCGUGCCCGGUCCUCGAGCGUAUGGGGCUCUGUCACCCGCUCUGAAGGCCCGGCCGGCCGCCGCCGACCUCGCAGACCUUAACCACCGGUUGACCUCGGAUCAGGCAGGGAUACCCGCUGAACUUAA